RNAcentral lists this transfer RNA (64 nucleotides) under Cryptocephalus moraei. Its description in RNAcentral is "tRNA-Ile". The record is from RNAcentral. Lineage: Eukaryota; Metazoa; Arthropoda; Insecta; Coleoptera; Chrysomelidae.
UAUAGAGUGCCUGAGAAAAGGAUAAUUUUGAUAGAAUUAAUAAUGUGUUUUUACACCUCUAUAA